UGCAACUCGACUGCACGAAGCUGGAAUCGCUAGUAAUCGCGGAUCAGCACGCCGCGGUGAAUACGUUCCCGGGCCUUGUACACACCGCCCGUCACACCAUGGAAGUCUGCAAUGCCCGAAGCCGGUGGCCUAACCACUUAUGUGGAAGGAGCCGUCUAAGGCAGGGCAGAUGACUGGGGUGAAGUCGUAACAAGGUACC
This 199-nucleotide ribosomal RNA is filed under the name uncultured bacterium. RNAcentral describes it as "partial 16S ribosomal RNA". It matches the Rfam family "Bacterial small subunit ribosomal RNA", at positions 1306 to 1500 of the family's 1533-position model. The record is from RNAcentral.